Molecule: ribosomal RNA, 468 nt
Filed under: uncultured bacterium
Lineage: Bacteria
Description: partial 16S ribosomal RNA
Rfam family: Bacterial small subunit ribosomal RNA
Source: RNAcentral
GACGAACGCUGGCGGCGUGCUUAACACAUGCAAGUCGAACGGAAAGGCCCUGCUUUUGUGGGGUGCUCGAGUGGCGAACGGGUGAGUAACACGUGAGUAACCUGCCCUUGACUUUGGGAUAACUUCAGGAAACUGGGGCUAAUACCGGAUAGGAGCUCCUGCUGCAUGGUGGGGGUUGGAAAGUUUCGGUGGUUGGGGAUGGACUCGCGGCUUAUCAGCUUGUUGGUGGGGUAGUGGCUGACCAAGGCUUUGACGGGUAGCCGGCCUGAGAGGGUGACCGGCCACAUUGGGACGGAGAGAGGGCCCAGACUGCUACGGGAGGCAGCAGGGGGGAAUAUUGCACAAUGGGCGGAAGCCUGAUGCAGCAACCCCGGGUGCGGGAUGACGGCCGUCGGGUUGUAAGCCGCUUUCGCCUGUGACGAAGCGUGAGUGACGGUAAGGGGAAAAGAAGCACCGGCUAACUACGUG